UACAGAGGUCCCGAGCGUUGUUCGGAUUCACUGGGCGUAAAGCGUGUGCAGGUGGUUUGGUAAGUUGGAUGUGAAAGCCCCGGGCUUAACUCGGGAAGUGCAUUCAAAACUACCAAACUUGAGUAUGGAAGAGGUUCGUGGAAUUCCUGGUGUAGUGGUGAAAUACGUAGAUAUCAGGAGGAACACCGGCGGCGAAGGCGGCGAACUGGUCCUAUACUGACACUCAUACACGAAAGCGUGGGUAGCAAACAGG
RNAcentral lists this ribosomal RNA (253 nucleotides) under uncultured bacterium. RNAcentral describes it as "partial 16S ribosomal RNA". It matches the Rfam family "Bacterial small subunit ribosomal RNA", at positions 524 to 776 of the family's 1533-position model. The record is from RNAcentral.